This 343-nucleotide small RNA is filed under the name Arabidopsis thaliana (thale cress). RNAcentral describes it as "putative long intergenic non-coding RNA". Lineage: Eukaryota; Viridiplantae; Streptophyta; Magnoliopsida; Brassicales; Brassicaceae. The record is from RNAcentral.
AGCUGGUUCUUGGGUCAAUGGACCAUGAGAACUGACUAAUCCCAGGACGAGGGGAAGCCAUGUGAAAACCUCUAACACUCACACAUUUGUGGAGUAGUUUUUAGGGUAGAUCAAACUUUGGAUAGCUCAUUACAACUUUUUUUAGUCUGAUCACUACCACUAGACCAAGCUUGUGUGGGCAAAAAGACUUCGUUCUCAAGGGCGGACCUAGUAAAGAAGAAGGGGGUCACUUGACCCAAGUUGAAUAGUCAAAUUUUAUUUUUUGCAUAGAAUUUUGUUUAGAAUUAGCAGAACAAUUGGUAAAUUCCAAGGUGUUGACACCCCCAAAACAUGAGUUCAAAUC